UAAAGUAAUGAAUAAUCCAUGUGGUUAUCACUACUGAUGCACAAGAAUGUAAUUGGCACUUAUCAGCAUAUUAAUGGAGAGAUGAACUCACUCUGCAGAAUUCUAGAAGCAUCUCAUGGAGCCUCACGUUUACCUGCUCUGGAGGUAAAAUCGCGGACCUGGGGCACCAGAGCGACAUCCAGGC
Long non-coding RNA from Diceros bicornis minor, 184 nucleotides. RefSeq lists it as uncharacterized. The transcript has 3 exons. The record is from RefSeq and is a predicted model, not a curated record. NCBI's taxonomy places the organism in Eukaryota, Metazoa, Chordata, Mammalia, Perissodactyla, Rhinocerotidae.